RNAcentral lists this ribosomal RNA (2902 nucleotides) under Escherichia coli KTE116. Its description in RNAcentral is "bacterial LSU rRNA". It matches the Rfam family "Bacterial large subunit ribosomal RNA". Lineage: Bacteria; Pseudomonadati; Pseudomonadota; Gammaproteobacteria; Enterobacterales; Enterobacteriaceae. The record is from RNAcentral.
UUAAGCGACUAAGCGUACACGGUGGAUGCCCUGGCAGUCAGAGGCGAUGAAGGACGUGCUAAUCUGCGAUAAGCGUCGGUAAGGUGAUAUGAACCGUUAUAACCGGCGAUUUCCGAAUGGGGAAACCCAGUGUGAUUCGUCACACUAUCAUUAACUGAAUCCAUAGGUUAAUGAGGCGAACCGGGGGAACUGAAACAUCUAAGUACCCCGAGGAAAAGAAAUCAACCGAGAUUCCCCCAGUAGCGGCGAGCGAACGGGGAGCAGCCCAGAGCCUGAAUCAGUGUGUGUGUUAGUGGAAGCGUCUGGAAAGGCGCGCGAUACAGGGUGACAGCCCCGUACACAAAAAUGCACAUACUGUGAGCUCGAUGAGUAGGGCGGGACACGUGGUAUCCUGUCUGAAUAUGGGGGGACCAUCCUCCAAGGCUAAAUACUCCUGACUGACCGAUAGUGAACCAGUACCGUGAGGGAAAGGCGAAAAGAACCCCGGCGAGGGGAGUGAAAAAGAACCUGAAACCGUGUACGUACAAGCAGUGGGAGCCUCUUUAUGGGGUGACUGCGUACCUUUUGUAUAAUGGGUCAGCGACUUAUAUUCUGUAGCAAGGUUAACCGAAUAGGGGAGCCGAAGGGAAACCGAGUCUUAACUGGGCGUUAAGUUGCAGGGUAUAGACCCGAAACCCGGUGAUCUAGCCAUGGGCAGGUUGAAGGUUGGGUAACACUAACUGGAGGACCGAACCGACUAAUGUUGAAAAAUUAGCGGAUGACUUGUGGCUGGGGGUGAAAGGCCAAUCAAACCGGGAGAUAGCUGGUUCUCCCCGAAAGCUAUUUAGGUAGCGCCUCGUGAAUUCAUCUCCGGGGGUAGAGCACUGUUUCGGCAAGGGGGUCAUCCCGACUUACCAACCCGAUGCAAACUGCGAAUACCGGAGAAUGUUAUCACGGGAGACACACGGCGGGUGCUAACGUCCGUCGUGAAGAGGGAAACAACCCAGACCGCCAGCUAAGGUCCCAAAGUCAUGGUUAAGUGGGAAACGAUGUGGGAAGGCCCAGACAGCCAGGAUGUUGGCUUAGAAGCAGCCAUCAUUUAAAGAAAGCGUAAUAGCUCACUGGUCGAGUCGGCCUGCGCGGAAGAUGUAACGGGGCUAAACCAUGCACCGAAGCUGCGGCAGCGACACUAUGUGUUGUUGGGUAGGGGAGCGUUCUGUAAGCCUGCGAAGGUGUACUGUGAGGUAUGCUGGAGGUAUCAGAAGUGCGAAUGCUGACAUAAGUAACGAUAAAGCGGGUGAAAAGCCCGCUCGCCGGAAGACCAAGGGUUCCUGUCCAACGUUAAUCGGGGCAGGGUGAGUCGACCCCUAAGGCGAGGCCGAAAGGCGUAGUCGAUGGGAAACAGGUUAAUAUUCCUGUACUUGGUGUUACUGCGAAGGGGGGACGGAGAAGGCUAUGUUGGCCGGGCGACGGUUGUCCCGGUUUAAGCGUGUAGGCUGGUUUUCCAGGCAAAUCCGGAAAAUCAAGGCUGAGGCGUGAUGACGAGGCACUACGGUGCUGAAGCAACAAAUGCCCUGCUUCCAGGAAAAGCCUCUAAGCAUCAGGUAACAUCAAAUCGUACCCCAAACCGACACAGGUGGUCAGGUAGAGAAUACCAAGGCGCUUGAGAGAACUCGGGUGAAGGAACUAGGCAAAAUGGUGCCGUAACUUCGGGAGAAGGCACGCUGAUAUGUAGGUGAAGUCCCUUGCGGAUGGAGCUGAAAUCAGUCGAAGAUACCAGCUGGCUGCAACUGUUUAUUAAAAACACAGCACUGUGCAAACACGAAAGUGGACGUAUACGGUGUGACGCCUGCCCGGUGCCGGAAGGUUAAUUGAUGGGGUUAGCGGUAACGCGAAGCUCUUGAUCGAAGCCCCGGUAAACGGCGGCCGUAACUAUAACGGUCCUAAGGUAGCGAAAUUCCUUGUCGGGUAAGUUCCGACCUGCACGAAUGGCGUAAUGAUGGCCAGGCUGUCUCCACCCGAGACUCAGUGAAAUUGAACUCGCUGUGAAGAUGCAGUGUACCCGCGGCAAGACGGAAAGACCCCGUGAACCUUUACUAUAGCUUGACACUGAACAUUGAGCCUUGAUGUGUAGGAUAGGUGGGAGGCUUUGAAGUGUGGACGCCAGUCUGCAUGGAGCCGACCUUGAAAUACCACCCUUUAAUGUUUGAUGUUCUAACGUUGGCCCCUAAUCGGGGUUGCGGACAGUGUCUGGUGGGUAGUUUGACUGGGGCGGUCUCCUCCUAAAGAGUAACGGAGGAGCACGAAGGUUGGCUAAUCCUGGUCGGACAUCAGGAGGUUAGUGCAAUGGCAUAAGCCAGCUUGACUGCGAGCGUGACGGCGCGAGCAGGUGCGAAAGCAGGUCAUAGUGAUCCGGUGGUUCUGAAUGGAAGGGCCAUCGCUCAACGGAUAAAAGGUACUCCGGGGAUAACAGGCUGAUACCGCCCAAGAGUUCAUAUCGACGGCGGUGUUUGGCACCUCGAUGUCGGCUCAUCACAUCCUGGGGCUGAAGUAGGUCCCAAGGGUAUGGCUGUUCGCCAUUUAAAGUGGUACGCGAGCUGGGUUUAGAACGUCGUGAGACAGUUCGGUCCCUAUCUGCCGUGGGCGCUGGAGAACUGAGGGGGGCUGCUCCUAGUACGAGAGGACCGGAGUGGACGCAUCACUGGUGUUCGGGUUGUCAUGCCAAUGGCACUGCCCGGUAGCUAAAUGCGGAAGAGAUAAGUGCUGAAAGCAUCUAAGCACGAAACUUGCCCCGAGAUGAGUUCUCCCUGACUCCCUGAGAGUCCUGAAGGAACGUUGAAGACGACGACGUUGAUAGGCCGGGUGUGUAAGCGCAGCGAUGCGUUGAGCUAACCGGUACUAAUGAACCGUGAGGCUUAACCUU